This 765-nucleotide non-coding RNA is filed under the name Trichomonas vaginalis G3. Its description in RNAcentral is "Eukaryotic large subunit ribosomal RNA". It matches the Rfam family "Eukaryotic large subunit ribosomal RNA", at positions 2482 to 3401 of the family's 3401-position model. The record is from Rfam by way of RNAcentral. Lineage: Eukaryota; Parabasalia; Trichomonadida; Trichomonadidae.
AUCGAUUCUGAAAAACCACUACCCUGUUUGGAAUUAUGCUUACCUAUCACAAGGAAUAGGACUAGAUAGAAAGUUUGGCUGGGGCGGCACACCUUCGAAAGAGCAGCGAAGGUGUCCUAAGUUGAGCUCAGUGAGGACAGAAAUCUCACGUUGAGGAUAAGGCCAAAAGCUCAAUUUACUGUGCCUUUUUGUACUAGGAUCAGUUACGAAAGUAAGGCCUAACGAUCCCUAAAUAGCCUCAGGUGCGUGAGGAUUGGGGUGACAGACAAGUUACCUCCGGGACAACUGGCUUGUGGCUGCUAAGAGAUCAAAUCAACGCAGCUUUUUGAUUCUUCGAUGUCGGCUCUUCCUAUCCUAGUGAUGUACAAGUUGCUAAGGGUCGGAUUGUUCACCCGUAUUAGGGAUCGUGAGCUGGGUUUAGACCGUCGUGAGCCAGGUUUGUUUUAUCCUACUGGAUAUAGCAUCAUGAUAGUAGAUUGAUUUAGUACGAGAGGAACUGUUGAUUAUGGCCUCUGGUUAGCGAUUAUCGGAAACGGUAUGUCGCGCAGCUACGCCGUCUGGGAUAAUGGCUGAAAGCCUCUUAAGCCAGAAGCCCAUCUAGAAAGUGAUGCACGUGAUGUUGGACCGAUACGAAUAAUCAUACUCAAAAGGUCCGCUUCAUAGGUAACCCAAUGUAGAAGACAUUGUGUGAACGAAGGUACUGUAAGCAGUGGAGUGGCAUUACGUCCACGACCUGUUGAGGUUCAGCUUCGCUUCUAGGUUUCC